This 216-nucleotide non-coding RNA is filed under the name Streptomyces sp. NRRL S-1521. RNAcentral describes it as "Bacterial large subunit ribosomal RNA". It matches the Rfam family "Bacterial large subunit ribosomal RNA", at positions 485 to 689 of the family's 2925-position model. Lineage: Bacteria; Bacillati; Actinomycetota; Actinomycetes; Kitasatosporales; Streptomycetaceae. The record is from Rfam by way of RNAcentral.
CGAUAGCGGAUAGUACCGUGAGGGAAUGGUGAAAAGUACCGCGGGAGCGGAGUGAAAUAGUACCUGAAACCGUGUGCCUACAAGCCGUGGGAGCGUCGGACAAGCACUUGUGCUUGUCUCGUGACUGCGUGCCUUUUGAAGAAUGAGCCUGCGAGUUUGCGGUGUGUUGCGAGGUUAACCCGUGUGGGGAAGCCGUAGCGAAAGCGAGUCCGAAUA